RNAcentral lists this ribosomal RNA (497 nucleotides) under uncultured bacterium. Its description in RNAcentral is "partial 16S ribosomal RNA". It matches the Rfam family "Bacterial small subunit ribosomal RNA", at positions 28 to 507 of the family's 1533-position model. The record is from RNAcentral.
GAUGAACGCUGGCGGCGUGCCUAAUACAUGCAAGUCGAGCGAACGGACGAGAAGCUUGCUUCUCUGAUGUUAGCGGCGGACGGGUGAGUAACACGUGGAUAAACUACCUAUAAGACUGGGAUAACUUCGGGAAACCGGAGCUAAUACCGGAUGAUAUUUUGAACCGCAUGGUUCAAAAGUGAAAGACGGUCUUGCUGUCACUUAUAGAUGGAUCCGCGCUGCAUUAGCUAGUUGGUAAGGUAACGGCUUACCAAGGCAACGAUGCAUAGCCGACCUGAGAGGGUGAUCGGCCACACUGGAACUGAGACACGGUCCAGACUCCUACGGGAGGCAGCAGUAGGGAAUCUUCCGCAAUGGGCGAAAGCCUGACGGAGCAACGCCGCGUGAGUGAUGAAGGUCUUCGGAUCGUAAAACUCUGUUAUUAGGGAAGAACAUAUGUGUAAGUAACUGUGCACAUCUUGACGGUACCUAAUCAGAAAGCCACGGCUAACUACGUG